RNAcentral lists this small nucleolar RNA (95 nucleotides) under Genlisea aurea. RNAcentral's name for it is "Small nucleolar RNA snoR1". It matches the Rfam family "Small nucleolar RNA snoR1". Rfam says of the family: snoR1 is a member of the C/D class of snoRNA which contain the C (UGAUGA) and D (CUGA) box motifs. The record is from Rfam by way of RNAcentral. Lineage: Eukaryota; Viridiplantae; Streptophyta; Magnoliopsida; Lamiales; Lentibulariaceae.
UUCAGUGAUGAUUUGUGCUAUAUUUCUGACACCUCUUGUAUGAGAAUGGCCAACAUGGUGCCAUCUUUGAACAAAGAAUGCAAUCAAUCUGAGAA